This 559-nucleotide long non-coding RNA is filed under the name Ananas comosus (pineapple). RNAcentral describes it as "long non-coding RNA (ACOM_LNC024818)". The record is from RNAcentral. Lineage: Eukaryota; Viridiplantae; Streptophyta; Magnoliopsida; Poales; Bromeliaceae.
GUAUUUGUACCCAAUUAUAAAAUACGGUUAAUUUUAUACAGAUCUCUACAAACAUAGUGAAUGACAAAUAUAAUCGUACAAAGUUUAAUUUUCAUAUGUUAUCUCUACAAAAGUUCUAAUAUUUUCAAAUAUAUUCCUCUAAUUUGUUAGGUUAGAUAAUUAUCAGAGAACUGUUUAUAUUUUCAAUUUUGUCAUCACAAAUAUAUCCUUCAAAAGCCAUAAAAGUAUAAUGUAAGAUGGAUAAAAAUAUCAAAAACUAACCAGGGUUAAAUCUAAAAUUUUCUAAUGGAUUGUACCGGCAGAAACAUAUUUAAAAUCAUCAUAACUUUUGCAGGGACAAUACAUGAAAGUUGAACUUUAUAGAAAUAUAUUUAUUAUUCGCUAUAUUUGUAGGAAUCUGUAUGAAAUUAAUCUAACUAUCCCUAGAGUAAAUGGCAAAAGACUUGAUGGUUGGUAUCUGAGAUCCCAAAUUCGAAUUAUAGUUAAUUCAUAUUUUAAAUUUUAUUCAUAAAUGAAAUAAACGAAGCAGAUAGCGUACUACUUAUCUCUCUCUCUCAAA